RNAcentral lists this ribosomal RNA (253 nucleotides) under uncultured bacterium. RNAcentral describes it as "partial 16S ribosomal RNA". It matches the Rfam family "Bacterial small subunit ribosomal RNA", at positions 524 to 776 of the family's 1533-position model. The record is from RNAcentral.
UACGAACUGUGCAAACGUUAUUCGGAAUCACUGGGCUUACAGGGUGCGUAGGCGGCUUGCUAAGUAGGGUGUGAAAGCCCCCGGCUCAACCGGGGAAUGGCGCCUUAAACUGGCGAGCUGGAGUGAGAUAGGGGUGUGCGGAACUUCCGGUGGAGCGGUGAAAUGUGUUGAUAUCGGAAGGAACGCCGGUGGCGAAAGCGGCACACUGGAUCUCAACUGACGCUGAGGCACGAAAGCCAGGGGAGCGAACGGG